This 469-nucleotide ribosomal RNA is filed under the name uncultured bacterium. Its description in RNAcentral is "partial 16S ribosomal RNA". It matches the Rfam family "Bacterial small subunit ribosomal RNA", at positions 28 to 507 of the family's 1533-position model. The record is from RNAcentral.
GAUGAACGCUGGCGGCGUGCCUAAUACAUGCAAGUCGAACGAGGUGCUUUUGUAGCAAUACGAGAGUAUCCUAGUGGCGAACGGGUGAGUAACGCGUUGGUGACCUACCCCAAAGUGUGGAAUAACAGUCCGAAAGGAUUGCUAAUACCGCAUGUGGUUAUCGGGUUUAGAAACUGAUAACUAAGGGAGCAAUUCGCUUUGGGAGGGACCUGCGUCCCAUCAGCUAGUUGGUGAGGUAAUGGCUCACCAAGGCUACGACGGGUAGGGGACCUGAGAGGGUGACCCCCCACAAUGGAACUGAAACACGGUCCAUACACCUACGGGUGGCAGCAGUAGGGAAUAUUGCACAAUGGGCGAAAGCCUGAUGCAGCAACGCCGCGUGCACGAUGAAGGCCUUCGGGUCGUAAAGUGCUUUUCUGGGAGAUGAGAAAGGACAGUAUCCCAGGAAUAAGUCUCGGCUAACUACGUG